CUAAGCAUAAGGCUAAGCCUAAGCCUAAGCCUGAGCCUAAGCUUUAGUCUAAGCGUAAGCCUAGGCCUAACCCUAACCCUAAGCUUAAGCCUAAGCCUAACCCUAAGCCUAACCCUAAGCCUGAGCCUAAGCCUAAGCCUAAGCCUAAAG
Caenorhabditis elegans is the source of this 150-nucleotide non-coding RNA. Lineage: Eukaryota; Metazoa; Nematoda; Chromadorea; Rhabditida; Rhabditidae. The record is from Ensembl.